Molecule: non-coding RNA, 113 nt
Organism: Acanthosepion pharaonis
Lineage: Eukaryota; Metazoa; Mollusca; Cephalopoda; Sepiida; Sepiidae
Source: the annotation of a GenBank genome assembly
UCCGACCAUAUCAUGUUUAAACACCGGUUCUCGUACGAUCACCGAAGUUAAACAACGUCGAACCUGUUUAGUAUCUAGAUUAGUGACCGCUUGGGAAUACCAGGUGCUGUAAG